AAUUGACAAACCCUAACAGCCUAACUCCCUCCCUAACUCAGCACGCAGCAGCCACCCCACCCCAAUCUAUCAUCUCUCUCUCGGUUGCCGGCGACCGGCGACACGCACUCCGGCGCGACGGCACACUCCGAUACGACGGCGGCUCAUCUUUCCAGCGAAGAUCCGACGAUCUUAACAGCAGCAGCAGUGCAGCACGGUCCGGCGCGACAUUAGCAUCAUCUGCCACCACCGGUCACCGGGCACCGGGCACCGGGUGCUUCCCAGCUCGGCGCGACAACAGCAGCGACACCAACGGCUCUCCACUCCUCGGCGCGAUAGCAGCAGUGCAGCACGAUCUGCCAUUUAAGCCCUUAACACGGUGUUCGACUGUUGGUAUUGGAGAGACGACUUCAUGUUGUAGGCUUGUGGCACUAUCUAUAAGAAGAAGCUGCAAAUUUAUGUUUUUAUGUUGUAUUUCAUAUUUUCAUUCAAGACUUGUUACUUUUUUAUGUUAUAUUUCAUAUUUUCAUUCUAGACUUCUUAUAUGCAGCCUUUUUCA
Long non-coding RNA from Salvia miltiorrhiza (redroot sage), 538 nucleotides. RefSeq lists it as uncharacterized. NCBI's taxonomy places the organism in Eukaryota, Viridiplantae, Streptophyta, Magnoliopsida, Lamiales, Lamiaceae. The transcript is spliced from 2 exons. The record is from RefSeq and is a predicted model, not a curated record.